UUAAGUUCAGCGGGUAUCCCUACCUGAUCCGAGGUCAAAUUCAUGGGGGUAGCUUCUGGGAGCCGAUCCGCCGGUCUCGAGUUCGCGUUUCUGCUGCGCUCGAAGCCAACGUGCCGGCCGCCAAUAGAUUUGAGGCGAGUUCACGCGUGUAGCGGAACAAAACGCCCAACACCCAGCAGGGCUGGAGGGUACAAAUGACG
Molecule: unclassified non-coding RNA, 200 nt
Filed under: Preussia sp. (in: ascomycete fungi)
Lineage: Eukaryota; Fungi; Ascomycota; Dothideomycetes; Pleosporales; Sporormiaceae
Description: Preussia sp. (in: Fungi) partial internal transcribed spacer 2
Source: RNAcentral